CCUACGGGGGGCAGCAGUGGGGAAUCUUGGACAAUGGGCGCAAGCCUGAUCCAGCAAUGCCGCGUGGGUGAAGAAGGCCUUCGGGUUGUAAAGCCCUUUUGUGGAGUCUGGAGUACCUGAAGAAUAAGGACCGGCUAACUACGUGCCAGCAGCCGCGGUAAUACGUAGGGUCCAAGCGUUAAUCGGAAUUACUGGGCGUAAAGCGUGCGCAGGUGGCUUGUUAAGAUCGAUGUGAAAUCCCCGGGCUCAACCUGGGAAUGGCAUUGAUGACUGGCUCGCUAGAGUACGGCAGAGGGGGGUGGAAUUCCACGUGUAGCAGUGAAAUGCGUAGAGAUGUGGAGGAACACCGAUGGCGAAGGCAACCCCCUGGGCGAACUGACACUCAUGCACGAAAGCGUGGGGAGCAAACAGGAUUAGAUACCCUUGUAGUC
This 431-nucleotide ribosomal RNA is filed under the name uncultured bacterium. RNAcentral's name for it is "partial 16S ribosomal RNA". It matches the Rfam family "Bacterial small subunit ribosomal RNA", at positions 338 to 795 of the family's 1533-position model. The record is from RNAcentral.